This 204-nucleotide long non-coding RNA is filed under the name Elaeis guineensis (African oil palm). RNAcentral's name for it is "long non-coding RNA (EGUI_LNC003509)". Lineage: Eukaryota; Viridiplantae; Streptophyta; Magnoliopsida; Arecales; Arecaceae. The record is from RNAcentral.
AUUUGUACUUCUCAAUUACUAUGGUCAAAUCAAUUAUUGAGACUCGUGGCAAGGAUGUGCACAUGGAAAUCUCGUUUGUGUAAUUGAUCUAACACUCCUGUUCUUCUAAAAGUGUGCUUCAAGACCGGGGGAGUAGGAUUGGAAGAAAGCCAAGUAGAGCUGACUGGUAGGUUGCUCUCGCUCUGCUUGUUAUAUGAAGGGACA